This 484-nucleotide ribosomal RNA is filed under the name uncultured bacterium. RNAcentral's name for it is "partial 16S ribosomal RNA". It matches the Rfam family "Bacterial small subunit ribosomal RNA", at positions 30 to 507 of the family's 1533-position model. The record is from RNAcentral.
AUUGAACGCUGGCGGCAGGCCUAAUACAUGCAAGUCGAGCGGAUGACGGGAGCUUGUUCCUGGUUUCAGCGGCGGACGGAUGAGUAAUGCCUAAGAAGCUGCCUGGUAGUCGGGGCUAACGUUCGGAAACGGGCGCUAAUACCGCAUACGAAUAGAGGGAGAAAGUGGGGGAUCUUCGGACCUAACGCUAUCAGAUGAGCCUAGGUCGCAUUAGCUAGUUGGUGGGGUAAAGGCCUACCAAGACGACGAUCCGUAACUGGUCUGAGAGGCUGAUCAGCCACACUGGAACUGAGACACGGUCCAGACUCCUACGGGAGGCAGCAGUAGGGAAUCUUGGACAAUGGGCGAAAGCCUGAUCGAGCCAUGCCGCGUGUGUGAUGAAGGUCUUCGGAUUGUAAAGCACUGUUAGAUGGGAAGAAGAGCUAUAAGAUAAAACCAUGCUAUUUUGACGUUACCAAAAGAGAAAGCGACGGCUAACUACGUG